AUUGAACGCUGGCGGCAGGCCUAACACAUGCAAGUCGAACGGUAACAGGAAGACGCUUGCUUCUUUGCUGACGCGUGGCGGACGGGUGAGUAAUGUCUGGGAAACUGCCUGAUGGAGGGGGAUAACUACUGGAAACGGUAGCUAAUACCGCAUAACUUCGCAAGACCAAAGAGGGGGAGCUUCGGGCCUCUUUCCAUCGGAUGUGCCCAGAUGGGAUUAGUUAGUAGGUGGGGUAACGGCUCACAUAGGCGCCGAUCCCUAGCUGGUCUGAGAGGAUGACCAGCCACACUGGAACUGAGACACGGUCCAGACUCCUACGGGAGGCAGCGGUGGGGAAUAUUGCACAAUGGGCGCAAGCCUGAUGCAGACAUGCCGCGUGUAUGAAGAAGGCCUUCGGGUUGUAAAGUACUUUCAGCGGGGAGGAGGGAGUAAAGUUAAUACCUGUGCUCAUUGACGUUACCCGCAGAAGAAGCACCGGCUAACUCCGUG
This 489-nucleotide ribosomal RNA is filed under the name uncultured bacterium. RNAcentral describes it as "partial 16S ribosomal RNA". It matches the Rfam family "Bacterial small subunit ribosomal RNA", at positions 30 to 507 of the family's 1533-position model. The record is from RNAcentral.